UAUUGAAAGUCUCCACUGUGCUGUGCUUUGCUAGGUGUGGAAGGUUAAAUGUUGCGAGUGAAAACCAGGUGAGUCUUCUGCCUUCAUGGAGCUUCCAGUCUACACAAAUGGAAGGAAAAUUCUGAUAUACCAAAAUAAAUCCAGAAUCUACCACCAGCUUGGUGGGGCCAUCAUCUGAAUGACCGUAGUUGCCUUCUGAUGGAGCUCCCAGCUGUGGCCUUGCCCCGCGGUGGUCUCUCUGGAACCCAGCAGCCUGAGUGUGCCUGCCAACGCACAAGUCCGGUCACAUCCCUUCUCUGCUCAGCACCCUCCAUGGCUCCCUGUCGUACACAGGGAAAACCCUCAGUGUAUCCCAAGCGCCUGGAAACUUUCGCAACACACCUGAGUACUCCGUCAACAUGUGCAGAGUGGAUGAGAUGAGAGUCUCCCUACCAUGCCUGACUCCAUGUUCCGAGUAGCUGAUGUUGCCGGAGCAUGAUCCUAUGUCAAGGGGGACUGGAAAUGAAGUCUACGGAGGAGCCCACAGGAGAGGAACACACAGCAACCCCGGCUACACUCAGGCUGACGACUUCUCCAGGCCUCAUGAUGUUUCUGAGGAAGCCUAGAGGCUCUUGGGAAGAACACACAGGAUGGUUCCUGAGAAAGAAUCCUGGAAGCACAGAAGCUCAUUUAAAUGCCAAGAAUCAUGAGUCCAUUAGUCUGAAGUCCUGCCUCUGUCCAUUCCUGGUAGCAUAAUAUUUAAAGUCUUCAAGGAGAUGUGGCUUCCCUCACACUAUUCUAUAGGAGUAAAUGACAAGUCUCUCAACUCUAAAACGAACAAACAAAACGAAACCUUCUAGAA
Molecule: non-coding RNA, 841 nt
Organism: Ictidomys tridecemlineatus (thirteen-lined ground squirrel)
Lineage: Eukaryota; Metazoa; Chordata; Mammalia; Rodentia; Sciuridae
Source: RefSeq, a predicted model, not a curated record